This 460-nucleotide ribosomal RNA is filed under the name uncultured bacterium. Its description in RNAcentral is "partial 16S ribosomal RNA". It matches the Rfam family "Bacterial small subunit ribosomal RNA", at positions 338 to 795 of the family's 1533-position model. The record is from RNAcentral.
CCUACGGGCGGCAGCAGUGAGGAAUAUUGGUCAAUGGGCGUAAGCCUGAACCAGCCAAGUCGCGUGAGGGAUGAAGGUUCUAUGGAUCGUAAACUUCUUUUAUAAAGGAAUAAAACGAGGCACGUGUGCCUUUUUGCAUGUACUUUAUGAAUAAGGAUCGGCUAACUCCGUGCCAGCAGCCGCGGUAAUACGGAGGAUCCGAUCGUUAUCCGGAUUUAUUGGGUUUAAAGGGAGCGUAGAUGGGUUGUUAAGUCAGUUGUGAAAGUUUGCGGCUCAACCGGAGAAUUGCAAUUGAUACUGGCAGUCUUGAGUACUGUUGAGGGAGGCAGAAUUCGUGGUGUAGCGGUGAAAUGCUUAGAUAUCACGAAGAACUCCGAUUGCGAAGGCAGCUUACUAAACUGCCACUGACAUUGAUGCUCGAAAGUGUGGGUAUCAAACAGGAUUAGAUACCCUAGUAGUC